GUGUUGUAUGAAGGGAGAGAAGGUUAGCACUCCCCUUGACAAGGAUGGAAGAGGCUCUCGGGCCUGUACAACAUGCAUAUGGUAUAGUUAAAAUAUAAUGAUUAAAUAAAGAAAAUUUUAU
Molecule: non-coding RNA, 121 nt
Filed under: Propithecus coquereli (Coquerel's sifaka)
Lineage: Eukaryota; Metazoa; Chordata; Mammalia; Primates; Indriidae
Source: RNAcentral